Molecule: ribosomal RNA, 463 nt
Filed under: uncultured archaeon
Lineage: Archaea
Description: bacterial SSU rRNA
Rfam family: Archaeal small subunit ribosomal RNA (bases 1-276)
Source: RNAcentral
GCCGUGUGAGCGGAUCUUUUUGGGAAGCCGGGCUUUUAGAGGGACCGCCGCUGAUAGCUGGAGGAAGGAGGGGACUACUGUGUGUCCGUAUGCCCCGAAUCCCUUGGGCCACACGCGGGCUGCAGUGGUUAGGACAGUGGGUUCCCACCCUGAAGGGUGGAGGUUAUCCCAUAAACCUUCUUAUUUUUGAUAGAGGGGUGUGACUCCCCCUCUCGAGAAUGUAGAAUGUAUAAAUAUCGUGUGUCAUAAUCGCGCUGAAUAUAUCUCUGUGCCUUGUGACAAAAUUUUGGCCUCGGCCGAGUCAACGUCCCGACGGCUGUAACGGGCCGCCUCAAACGCUUCUUUGAUCUAAUCUAUGUCCUCAACCGCAUAGGGCACAGCCUUCUCCAACUGGACCGCGUAUUCGGAAGGUGUCUGGAAUGGCUUGCGCGUCAUUCCCUGCUCCUUGCUCAACCUUGCACAA